AUUGAACGCUGGCGGCAGGCCUAACACAUGCAAGUCGAGCGGAUGAAGGGAGCUUGCUCCUGGAUUCAGCGGCGGACGGGUGAGUAAUGCCUAGGAAUCUGCUUGGUAGUGGGGGAUAACGUCUGGAAACGGGCGCUAAUACCGCAUACGUCCUGAGGGAGAAAGUGGGGGAGCUUUGGACCUCAUGCUAUCAGAUGAGCCUAGGCCGGAUUAGCUAGUUGGUGGGGUAACGGCCUACCAAGGGGACGAUCCGUAACUGGUCUGAGAGGGGGAACAGUCACUCUGGAACUGAGACGCGGUCCAGAGACCUACAGGAGGCAGCAGUGGCGAAUGUUGGACAAAGGGCGAAAGCCUGAACCAUCCAUGGCACGUGUGUGCAGAAAGUCUGCGGAUUGUAAGGCACUUUAAGGUGGGAAAAAGGGCAUUAAGUUAAUACCUGGCUGUUUGGACGUUACCAACAGAGAAGGCACCGGCUAACUACGU
Molecule: ribosomal RNA, 483 nt
Filed under: uncultured bacterium
Lineage: Bacteria
Description: partial 16S ribosomal RNA
Rfam family: Bacterial small subunit ribosomal RNA
Source: RNAcentral